Molecule: unclassified non-coding RNA, 253 nt
Filed under: uncultured Bradymonadales bacterium
Lineage: Bacteria; Deltaproteobacteria; Bradymonadales
Description: contains 16S-23S intergenic spacer region
Rfam family: Bacterial small subunit ribosomal RNA
Source: RNAcentral
UACGGAGGGUGCAAGCGUUGUUCGGAAUCAUUGGGCGUAAAGCGCGCGCAGGCGGCCUAUCAAGUCUGGUGUGAAAGCCCGGGGCUCAACCCCGGAAGUGCACUGGAAACUGGAAGGCUUGAGUCCGAGAGGGGCCAGUGGAAUUCCUGGUGUAGGAGUGAAAUCCGUAGAGAUCAGGAGGAACACCAGUGGCGAAGGCGACUGGCUGGAUCGGUACUGACGCUGAGGCGCGAAAGCGUGGGGAGCAAACAGG